Molecule: ribosomal RNA, 249 nt
Filed under: Klebsiella pneumoniae
Lineage: Bacteria; Pseudomonadati; Pseudomonadota; Gammaproteobacteria; Enterobacterales; Enterobacteriaceae
Also listed under: 1 other name
Description: partial 16S ribosomal RNA
Rfam family: Bacterial small subunit ribosomal RNA
Source: RNAcentral
GGAUUGGAGUCUGCAACUCGACUCCAUGAAGUCGGAAUCGCUAGUAAUCGUAGAUCAGAAUGCUACGGUGAAUACGUUCCCGGGCCUUGUACACACCGCCCGUCACACCAUGGGAGUGGGUUGCAAAAGAAGUAGGUAGCUUAACCUUCGGGAGGGCGCUUACCACUUUGUGAUUCAUGACUGGGGUGAAGUCGUAACAAGGUAACCGUAGGGGAACCUGCGGUUGGAUCACCUCCUUACCUUAAAGAA